RNAcentral lists this transfer RNA (65 nucleotides) under Marmota monax (woodchuck). RNAcentral describes it as "tRNA.Ala". The record is from RNAcentral. Lineage: Eukaryota; Metazoa; Chordata; Mammalia; Rodentia; Sciuridae.
GGGGUUGUGGCUCAGUGGUAGAGUGCUUGCCUAGCAUGUAUGAGGUACUUCAAUCCUCAGCACCA